RNAcentral lists this ribosomal RNA (2190 nucleotides) under Androsina lucasi. RNAcentral's name for it is "SSU rRNA". It matches the Rfam family "Eukaryotic small subunit ribosomal RNA". The record is from RNAcentral. Lineage: Eukaryota; Foraminifera; Miliolida; Soritidae.
UACUAAUGCAACUGCGAAUAGCUGUUUAAUACAGUCGCAAUUGUAUUGACUUAGCAAUAUAUAGAUAACUUAAAUAUAAGUUACUUGGAUAACUAAGGGAAAGUUUGGCUAAUACGUUUAAAUGUAUUAUAAUAAAUACAUAUGCAUAUAAUAAUAUUGCAACAUGAUAGAUAUUAUAUAAAAAUAAGAUAUAUUUUAUUAUAUCUUAUAAGAGCAGACUUUAUAAUAUUUUAAUUAUAAAGCAUGUCAAACAAGCAUCUAUAGCAUCAAGUCACAAUGUUGGCAUGUGUAUUAUUGAACCUUCAAAGCAUUUACGCAUUCGGAGGAGUAGUUUCUGAUCCCGUCGAAGGUGCCUGAGAGACGGCACUUAGUUCUAAGGAACGCAGCAGGCGCGUAAAUUGCCCAAUGACAAAACAUGUUAUAAUAAACUUAAUUAAUAUAUAAUAAUUAAUUGAGGCAGUGACAAGCUGUAAAGAUUCAAUAUAUUAAUUAAGAUAACAUUUGGAAUUGUCCCUUUAUAAUAUAUUNUAUAUUAUUUUGGUUGAUAAUAUACCAAUGUUAUAAAAUAUUGAAUUUGAAUGCGGUGAAUAUAAUAAUUUCAAGUAACAUAUUUAUYAUAUUAUUUGAAUUUUCAAGUGGAGGGCAAGNNNNNNNNNNNNNNCCGCGGUAAUACCAGCUCCACUAGCUUAUACAAUCAUUGUUGCGGUUAAGAGGCUCGUAGUUGGAUUGAAUAAACUCUCAAUACUGUGAACAAACCAGAGUGUAUAAAACAUGUUAAUAUUAAUAUUAUUAGCAAUGAAUGUUUUAUCAUGGAAUAUUGCAUAUAAUAUUUUUGUCGAUGGAGGUAGUUGGAGUUAAGAGUACUGAUAGGCGAGCGGUGAAAUGCAUUGACCCUAUUAAGACUAACAAAAGCGAAAGCACUUAACUAGAUUAUUCUCUUUGUAUUUUUACAAUGAAGAGCGAAGGUUGGGGGAACAAAGAGGAUCAGAUACCCUCGUAGUCCUAUUUUUACAUCAAACUAUGGGAUUUCAAUUGAAUAUUAUACUCCUUCAACUAAUUAACAUUAUUUUAUAUAUGAUUGAGUAUUUAUUUUACUCUCAUAUUAAAUAUAUAUAUUGAUAUUUUGAUAAAAUAAAAUAUCAUUAUAUGUACUUUGCGCUCAUAUAAUUAUAUAGGUGAGAUGUAAGCAUUAUAGAUGAUUAAUAUGUAUAGUAUUUAUAUAUUAUUACAUUAUUAUGAAUCUUAUAUAAAAAUGUAAUGUGAUGCACGUUUUAGGUACGAGCUUACUAUAGAAAUAUUUAAAAUAAUACCCUCCUGGGGUAGUAUGCACGCAAGUGUGAAACUUGAAGGNNNNNNNNNAAGGGCACCACAAGAACGCGUGGAGCAUGUGGCUUAAUUUGACUCAACGCGGGAAAUCUUACCAGGUCCAGACAUAUUGAGGAUUGACAGGUGAUAGUAUAUACUUAUUAAGAGUAUAUGCAUAAAUAUGAUAGUCCUUUCAUGAUUAUAUGAUAGGUGGUGCAUGGCCGUUCUUAGUUCGUGGAGUGAUUUGUCUGCUUAAUUGCGUUUCAGUUAAAUAAAAUAUAUAAUAUAUAUAAUUUAUUGUUCUGCCUAUAUUUAUAUAGGAUUUAAAGUGAACAUAUUAUAAAUAUUAUUAUAUAAUAAAUGAAUGCAACGAACGUGACCGUAACCUUUUAUUGCUAUAAUUAUUAUUAAUAUAGCUUAAAAUUAAAGGGACCGCUGUCAUUAUUAUAUGUGUUAAAAUAGAGUAAGAUUACGGCAAUAACAGGUCUGUGAUGCCCUCAGAUGUUCUGGGCUGCACACGUGCUACAAUAAUUACAUUAAUAAGUAUAUUAUUAUAUGUAUUUAUUACAUUCAACCUAUUUCGAAAGUAAAUGGGUAAUCAUUUAAAAAUCGUGAUUAUUAUUUAUAAAUAUAUUUAAUUUAAGGUGGGGAUAGUGUAUUGUUAAUUAUUACACUUGGCCUUAACUAGGAAUGCCUUGUACUCUUCUUUGGUUUAACAUACCAAGAGGAAUACGUCCCUGCCCUUUGUACACACCGCCCGUCGCUCUUACCGAUGAAUUAUAUUAUAAAUCUAAGGGACAAUAAUUAAUAUAAUUUAUGAAACUUAUAUACAUAAUGUGAUUUAAAGGAAAGAGAAGUCGUAACAAGGCAUCAGUAGGUGAACCU